GGAAGAUUCACAUCUGUAAAGAAUCUCUAUUAACAUAGCUAUAUCUUUUUCUUCCAGGCCCUCCGAACCCUGAAGAGAUCAUCAUAUAUAUGUGCUGCCGAAGCGAGCACUCCUGAAGAGAUUAACUAAGAGUCUAGCACCUUUUAAGUUAGAAGAGACUGCCCACAUAGGGAGAGUGGCACAGAGGAGAGUAACAUCAAUCAACAGCGAAUAUGCACUUGAUCGCGGUCUAAUCAGCACCAGGCACCUCAGGGCAGCAGUAUUGUCAGACGCAUUGGAACCAGAGGGACUCCAUCUUGAAUAAGGUCUGGGUAAAAUGAGGCUAACACCUACUGGGCUGCAUUCCCAGGAGGUUAAGCAUUCUUAGUCACAGGACAAGAUAGGUCAGCAGGACAAGAUAGAGGUCAUAAAGACCCUGCUGAUAAAACAAUGCCAUAAAGAAGGCAGCCAAAACCUGCCAAAACCAAGGUGGUGAUGAAAGUGACCUCUAGUUGUCCUCACUGCUCACUAUACGCUAAUUAUAAUGCAUUAGCAUACUCAAAGACACUCCCAGCAGCACCACGACAGUUUACAAACGCCAUGGCAACAUUAGGAAGUUACCCUAUAUGGUCUAAAAGGGGAGGAACCCUCAGUUAGGGUAAAUCCCUGCCCUUUUCCUGGAAAACUCAUGAAUGAUCCACCCCUUGUUUAACAUAUAAUCAAGA
RNAcentral lists this long non-coding RNA (704 nucleotides) under Homo sapiens (human). RNAcentral's name for it is "LNC_000911". The record is from RNAcentral. Lineage: Eukaryota; Metazoa; Chordata; Mammalia; Primates; Hominidae.